This 238-nucleotide unclassified non-coding RNA is filed under the name uncultured Coprinopsis. Its description in RNAcentral is "sequence contains ITS1". Lineage: Eukaryota; Fungi; Basidiomycota; Agaricomycetes; Agaricales; Psathyrellaceae. The record is from RNAcentral.
UUGAAUAAAUCUGACGUGGUUGUCGCUGGCUCUCCGGAGUAUGUGCACGCCCGUCACCUUUAUCUCGCUCCCUGUGCACACACUGUAGGCUUGGAUACCUCUCGCCGGAUAGGCGGAUGCAGAGAUUGCCGGUCCAUCACUGGUCGGCUUUCUUUGAAUUUCCAAGUCUACGAUUUUACAUACCCCAAACGAAUGUUAUAGAAUGUAAUUUGUAUGGCCUUGUGCCUAUAAAUCAAUA